UACAGAGGGUGCGAGCGUUGUUCGGAUUCAUUGGGCGUAAAGGGUGCGUAGGUGGUGCCGUAAGUCAGGUGUGAAAUCCCGGGGCUCAACCCCGGAACUGCACUUGAUACUGCGGUGCUCGAGGACUGGAGAGGAGAUCGGAAUUCAUGGUGUAGCAGUGAAAUGCGUAGAUAUCAUGAGGAAGACCAGUGGCGAAGGCGGAUCUCUGGACAGUUCCUGACACUGAGGCCCGAAGGCCAGGGGAGCAAACGGG
Molecule: ribosomal RNA, 253 nt
Filed under: uncultured bacterium
Lineage: Bacteria
Description: partial 16S ribosomal RNA
Rfam family: Bacterial small subunit ribosomal RNA
Source: RNAcentral